AGCAGACCGAACAGUCGCGGGUGCAGAACCGAAAGGCUGCAUGCGAGGAAAGUCCGAGCUCCGCAGGGCGGGAUAACGGCUAACGGCCGCCGGGGGUGACCCCAGGGAAAGUGCAACAGAGAUAUACCGCCGAUCAAUUUUCGGCAAGGGUGGAAAGGCGAGGUAAGAGCUCACCGGCGCAGGCGAGAGUCUGCGGCCAUGUAAACCCUAUUCGGAGCAACACCGUGGAGGGACGUUUAACGCUUGCCCGGCGUAUCCCAUGGAGGUGGCAGUGAGCAAUUCCGGUAACGGGUUGCCAAGAUAGAUGACUGUUUUCAACAGAACUCGGCUUAUAGGUCUGGUCU
Molecule: RNase P RNA, 344 nt
Filed under: bovine gut metagenome
Description: Bacterial RNase P class A
Rfam family: Bacterial RNase P class A
About the family: Ribonuclease P (RNase P) is a ubiquitous endoribonuclease, found in archaea, bacteria and eukarya as well as chloroplasts and mitochondria.
Source: RNAcentral